RNAcentral lists this transfer RNA (77 nucleotides) under Crocinitomicaceae bacterium. RNAcentral describes it as "tRNA-Arg". It matches the Rfam family "tRNA". Rfam says of the family: Transfer RNA (tRNA) molecules are approximately 80 nucleotides in length. Their secondary structure includes four short double-helical elements and three loops (D, anti-codon, and T loops). The record is from RNAcentral. Lineage: Bacteria; Pseudomonadati; Bacteroidota; Flavobacteriia; Flavobacteriales; Crocinitomicaceae.
GGCUUCGUAGCUCAACUGAAUAGAGCACUACAUUACGGCUGUAGAGGUUUCAGGUUUGAAUCCUGACGAGGUCACAA